RNAcentral lists this ribosomal RNA (446 nucleotides) under uncultured bacterium. Its description in RNAcentral is "bacterial SSU rRNA". It matches the Rfam family "Bacterial small subunit ribosomal RNA", at positions 330 to 794 of the family's 1533-position model. The record is from RNAcentral.
UCCAGACUCCUACGGGAGGCAGCAGUGGGGAAUAUUGCACAAUGGGGGGAACCCUGAUGCAGCGAUGCCGCGUGGAGGAAGAAGGUUUUCGGAUUGUAAACUCCUUUUAUCAGGGACGAUAAUGACGGUACCUGAAGAAAAAGCUCCGGCUAACUACGUGCCAGCAGCCGCGGUAAUACGUAGGGAGCGAGCGUUAUCCGGAUUUAUUGGGUUUAAAGGGUGCGUAGGCGGACGCUUAAGUCAGCGGUAAAAUUGCGGGGCUCAACCUCGUCGAGCCGUUGAAACUGGGUGCCUUGAGUGGGCGAGAAGUACGCGGAAUGCGUGGUGUAGCGGUGAAAUGCAUAGAUAUCACGCAGAACUCCGAUUGCGAAGGCAGCGUACCGGCGCCCAACUGACGCUGAAGCACGAAGGCGUGGGUAUCGAACAGGAUUAGAUACCCGAGUAUG